AUUGAAUUUCGAAAUAUUGUAAUAAGUAAAAUUGUUAUAAAUCUAAAAUAGGAAUGAAAAGAAUGAAAAUAUCUAAAAGAACCAUAUCCAAAUCUAAAUCAUUUUCAAAGUAAAUUAUUUCAUACGUAAUAUAGAUAUAUUGAUAUUAAAUAUGGCGGCAUUCAUAUUAAACAUUCUUUAUAAAGAUAAAAUUGAAUCUGGGUCUCAUAAUCUAGAGAACUUGAAGCGGCGGUCACACCUUGCGAUUUUUAGCUGCGACUGGAACUGGCUCUUCUCCCUAAUUCAUAAAUCCCCUCCAAACCGGUCAUUGAUCAACAAAAAUUUUGUUCUUGUGGCAAUGAUCGCAAUUGCACAUC
RNAcentral lists this long non-coding RNA (356 nucleotides) under Androctonus crassicauda. Lineage: Eukaryota; Metazoa; Arthropoda; Arachnida; Scorpiones; Buthidae. The record is from RNAcentral.